RNAcentral lists this ribosomal RNA (425 nucleotides) under uncultured bacterium. RNAcentral describes it as "partial 16S ribosomal RNA". It matches the Rfam family "Bacterial small subunit ribosomal RNA", at positions 354 to 796 of the family's 1533-position model. The record is from RNAcentral.
GUGGGGAAUCUUGCGCAAUGGGCGAAAGCCUGACGCAGCCAUGCCGCGUGAAUGAUGAAGGUCUUAGGAUUGUAAAAUUCUUUCACCGGGGACGAUAAUGACGGUACCCGGAGAAGAAGCUCCGGCUAACUUCGUGCCAGCAGUCGCGGUAAUACGAAGGGGGCUAGCGUUGUUCGGAAUUACUGGGCGUAAAGGGCGCGUAGGCGGACUGCUUAGUCCGAGGUGAAAGCCCAGGGCUCAACCUUGGAAUUGCCUUUGAUACUGGCUGUCUUGAGUUUGGGAGAGGUGAGUGGAACUCCGAGUGUAGAGGUGAAAUUCGUAGAUAUUCGGAAGAACACCAGUGGCGAAGGCGACUCACUGGCCCAAUACUGACGCUGAGGCGCGAAAGCGUGGGGAGCAAACAGGAUUAGAUACCCGAGUAGUCC